Molecule: ribosomal RNA, 437 nt
Filed under: uncultured bacterium
Lineage: Bacteria
Description: bacterial SSU rRNA
Rfam family: Bacterial small subunit ribosomal RNA
Source: RNAcentral
UAGGGAAUUUUCGUCAAUGGGGGAACCCUGAACGAGCAAUGCCGCGUGUGUGAAGAAGGUCUUCGGAUCGUAAAGCACUGUUGUAAGUGAAGAAUGCCAUAUAGAGGAAAUGCUAUGUGGGUGACGGUAGCUUACCAGAAAGCCACGGCUAACUACGUGCCAGCAGCCGCGGUAAUACGUAGGUGGCAAGCGUUAUCCGGAAUCAUUGGGCGUAAAGGGUGCGUAGGUGGCACGAUAAGUCUGAAGUAAAAGGCAACAGCUCAACUGUUGUAUGCUCUGGAAACUGUCGAGCUAGAGUGCAGAAGAGGGCGAUGGAAUUCCAUGUGUAGCGGUAAAAUGCGUAGAUAUAUGGAGGAACACCAGUGGCGAAGGCGGUCGCCUGGUCUGUAACUGACACUGAUGCACGAAAGCGUGGGGAGCAAAUAGGAUUAGAUACC